This 73-nucleotide transfer RNA is filed under the name Clostridiales bacterium. RNAcentral's name for it is "tRNA-Thr". It matches the Rfam family "tRNA". From Rfam's summary of the family: Transfer RNA (tRNA) molecules are approximately 80 nucleotides in length. Their secondary structure includes four short double-helical elements and three loops (D, anti-codon, and T loops). The record is from RNAcentral. Lineage: Bacteria; Bacillati; Bacillota; Clostridia; Eubacteriales.
GCUAAAGUGGCUCAGUUGGUAGAGCAGCUGAUUCGUAAUCAGCAGGUCGUGGGUUCAAGUCCCAUCUUUAGCU